AUAACGACUCUCGGCAACGGAUAUCUCGGCUCUCGCAUCGAUGAAGAACGUAGCGAAAUGCGAUACUUGGUGUGAAUUGCAGAAUCCCGUGAACCAUCGAGUCUUUGAACGCAAGUUGCGCCCGAAGCCAUCCGGCCGAGGGCACGUCUGCCUGGGCGUCACG
This 163-nucleotide ribosomal RNA is filed under the name Anna ophiorrhizoides. Its description in RNAcentral is "5.8S ribosomal RNA". It matches the Rfam family "5.8S ribosomal RNA". Rfam says of the family: 5.8S ribosomal RNA (5.8S rRNA) is a component of the large subunit of the eukaryotic ribosome. It is transcribed by RNA polymerase I as part of the 45S precursor that also contains 18S and 28S rRNA. Functionally, it is thought that 5.8S rRNA may be involved in ribosome translocation. The record is from RNAcentral. Lineage: Eukaryota; Viridiplantae; Streptophyta; Magnoliopsida; Lamiales; Gesneriaceae.